This 31496-nucleotide long non-coding RNA is filed under the name Phoenix dactylifera (date palm). Its description in RNAcentral is "long non-coding RNA (PDAC_LNC001193)". Lineage: Eukaryota; Viridiplantae; Streptophyta; Magnoliopsida; Arecales; Arecaceae. The record is from RNAcentral.
AUCCUUCUCCCUAGUGCUUGCUUUGAUGAGAGGUUGCUGAUUUGACUCGGGAGGAAUAUUAAAAUAAUGAAGCUAUCAAAAAUAAUUAGAAUAGACAUUUAUUAAUACAAAAGAAUAAUGAAGCUUUUUUAUAUUAAAAUAUCUGCUUAUGAACACACACAGAAAUUUAAUUGGAGGAAUAUUAUUGCAAAAAUACAUGAUUUGAAAGGUAAAAUAUAUAAAUAUUUUUUUUUCCAAGACGGAUGAGUACGAAUACAUCCAAUAAAAUUAAAAACAAAAUAUUCCAAAAUGCCAGAGGCAGAUUCCCAUCUCAACCCAUAUGGUACUAUCCGUAUGGCUGGCCACAUACGGAUAAUAUGUGCAUUGUAAUUUUUGUUCCUUUGCAUGUGAGAUGAGUAUCCUGCAACAAGACAUAUUACUACCAUCAGUUCACAUGAUUAAGAAAGACAUCUGACCGCAAUGUGCAUUUGUCUGUCUUGGAACAUAGCCAUAGCAUAUAAGAGUUGAAGCAACUGUCGACGGUACUUCUCAUUUGGGAAAUGUGGAGAAGCAAUCAUUUGGCCGGACAUUGGAAUCUUCUAAAAAUGUAUAUUUCAGAUAAACUUACCAAGCUUAUGCAGCAAUCGCAUCCAGAAAUCUCAACAUCAUGAGAUCAUGGAGCUUUGCUGAUGCCGUAGUAACUGCUUGAGUGCCAUAGCAGACACCAUAAUGACGACAAUAGUUGUUUAAGAGGACUACAGCAGCCACUUCUCACCUAAUUCUAUAUUCAAAUGUUUAGCAGGAAGGGAUAUGCACUAGAUAACUGACAUGACAUCAUUUGAAACGUUAAUGAUAACAGAAAAGGUUUGUAGUACAUUGGAAUUAGGUGUCUCCAUCAAUAUGGAGAAAAUUCCGCUCAUGUCGGCCAACAAUUUCAAAAUAGAACAUCUGCAAUCAGUAAAUGAAUCAGGCUAUGAAUCAGCAAAUGAAUCAGGCUAAGUAGCAAAUGGAACCUGUUCAAUUUCUUACAAGAAUAAAAAUGAAUUUAAUUUCUAGUAAAUAUCAAGCCAACUAAACCCUGGGAGUCAGCUGGGACUAUGCAGUACAUGUAUCGGCAGCAGAAACCUCCAGGGUUUCCAUCUUUUUGCGUGAUGCUGCUGGACCUGACUGUUAACAUGGUGAGCCAUCCGUUCAUCUCCAUGCGCUUUUUUUUCCUUUUUGAGUACCUGAAGGCAUUAUUCUCAUUCUAUCUGGCUGGAACAUAGCCGCCCUGUCUUUAACACGACAGUUUCUUCAGAAGAUUGGGGCCAGAGAGGUGACAAGGCCACCACCCUGCCAAUAAUUAUUAGAGUUGGGGACACCAAGUCUGCUAAUUUAACCUCAUAGACAAUGUCCUUAAGUUCUGCAAAUACCUGCAUCAAAGGAAGUUAUCACUCGAAUUUGAAAAACAAGGGUUGAGAAGAAAAGUUAAAGCUCAAGGAGAUCAUUUGCUGGUUGGUUAUCUGCUAAACUUCAGUCGGAUUACUUGAUGAUUUUACAUUUAGUUUUCUUGCAUGCUUUGGUAGAAAUUUUAAGAAAUAGCAGUUCAUUACUGACCAUUCGUUGCUGUGGGGUAGUUCCUCGCUCCACUGCAACAGCUGGAGUGUCCGGCGGCAAGCCAUGAUUCAUCAAUUUUGAAGCAAGAGCUUGGAGGGUUGACAAACCCAUAUAGACAACCAAAGUUGAAUCAGGAUCAGCAGCAUUCUCUUCCACAUAAAGAGGAUCCAUUCCUCCAUUUCUUGAGUGUCCGGUUAAAAAUCUAACGCUGCAGCAAAGAGCAAAGAACAGAGGGUUAAGUAUUUUGAAUACUCAAAACUGGCAUAAAUACCCUUAAAAGCAUGCUUUUUUGUUAUAAAAAAAAACAUUAAUGGGAAAAAAGGCUCUUGCAUGUUAAGUAGUCUAGCAAUAGAGUACUUCCUAUUCGCAUUAUUGAGUAGAGUUAUCAAGUAUCAAUAAUACUUCCAGCACUAUAGAACAAUUCAUUUAGGCUCUUUAUUUGCACUAUUGGCACUCUCACACAUAAAAUAUUAUAGUUCCAAAGUAUGUGUAUUGUGAUGAGCAUGUCAUGGAAAGCCUGGAAUUAGAAUUCCUGCAGACUCAGGUAAUCAGAGUUUUUAAAAUUAUUGGAUUGCCAUAAACAGAAAAUAUGAAUCUUAAAAGGCAUUAAAUCUCAUUAGUUAAAUCUUCAAUCAUCUCAACUAUUUUGGAUAAUAGUAGUUCUAAGUCUAGCUCUAAGCAACAAACAGUCACUCUAUCUUAAGUCUGUGUAAUUUUAUUAAACAUACAACAAUGCAACUUCUUACUUUAAUUUUGACAUUCCAGUAUAUUUCCAAUAGUUUGGAUCACAAUGAUCAUGGGAUAUGUUGGAGGAAUUGGAAAUAACGGAUCAAAUGUAUCUAUAUGGAUAUUAGGGCCCACAAAGCGCUAUGAUAAGAUUACAGAUGGAAAUUUGACAAGAAGCGAUACUAGGACAGCAUCAAAAUACAUUAAGCAGAGAAUCCAUGCAACAAAGAUAUUUAUUAAAGCUACAAUCGCUCAAAAGGUCCCUAUAGAUCUAAAACUCAAUCAUAAGCUAUGAAUUGAAUGAAGCCUAUUGCUAAAGCAUUAGUCAAGACCAGCAGCAGGAUGAGAAAUCCAGUGAUAAAUGGUGAAUCAACAGACUGAAGAACAAUUGAACCAAUAAAACUACUUCCACCCAAGAAAUGGUAGUGAACCACUGUAAGUUCCACCCAAGAAGCAGGUGUCAGUAAACAGUGCAUACUUGCCUCAAAAACUAAAAGAGCCAGAGAACAAUACUGUUCUCAGAACAAAAAGCUUUUAAUGUUACUAAAGCAAAUUUUACAAUGACUAAGGGAAAGCAAGGCAAGACGAAUCAUGUUACCUAUUUGCAACACCUCGGUGGGUCAGUGGGAUUCCAAGCUCAGCUGCUAUCCCAGAAGCAGAAGUGAUCCCUGUUUUAUAUGAUGGUGGUCAAUAGAUAUAAGGAUGACUAAUCAUGGAAAACACUUUCAGGUUAACAAGUUGUAUACCUGGAAUGACCUUGACUUGAAUUCCCUGUUUCUGGAGAAAAUCCAUCUCCUCUCCACCUCUGCCAAAGACCUAAAGAGCCAAUAAAAUAUUAUCAAGCAGCAACAGUGAUGAUUCUUUCCUUUUCUUUUCUUUUUUUGGCUAAGCAAUCAUCACAAUCAUCUUUAACCAAAAAAAAGAAAAAGAACCUAUGAAGCACAAACUCAUCUGUAGGAGAGAACCUAAGUAUUAUUUUUCAAGCCUUUAGCAAAUAAUAUCUAUAGGAUGCAGCAUCUCCUUUUGGCCAGACAUGUGAACCUUAAAUUGCAGCUUCACACUGGACUCAGACCCAAUAAACACCUCUGAUCCAAUCUUAGCCAAAAUCUCAUUGAAUUUUUUUGACUGAAACUUUUGUCAGCUAGCUCAAAUAGACAGCAACCUGGCUUUGUGCCAAGCUGCGAAGUUUAAAUAACUUCCUCAUGGAACCAUCUAAUUUAUCUUCUAUCAACUGAGUGAUGUUACUAUAUAAGUAACUUUCAAAUUCAUUAGAAAACAAAUGUAUGGUGAUUGACCAAUGAGUUUGCCUGGCUACAAGCUAAAUCCAGCCUACAUGCUUUUUCUUUGUGUAUCACUUGAUGUAUGUCUUCAUAAUCGUAUGUAGAUUAGCCAACAUUAGAAAACACUGACAGUAAAUAGCUGAAUCUUGCAUGCCUUAUAAUUCAUUUUUCAUAUUCUGCUAACUUCAUGCUUGAAUAUUUUCCUUAUGCUUUUGGUUUAAAGUUCUUAACAUAGGGGAUUCAUCGCAUACAAGUAUGAAAUUUCUAAAACAGAAACAUUUUCUUAAUAUUUAAAUGACAACAUUUUAUAACACAGAGACAUGGAAAUAUCACUUGAUUAGAGAAAUGAGAAAAUGAAUAAUAAGUGUGCAACAUGUCUCACCAUACUUAAGUAAGACAUUUGAGUUUAAAAAGUAACUAGGGUCAUAAAAAGGAAAAAAAGCGAGAAUGAUAACAAGAUCAAUCUCUUCCUUUAAUCAUAACGUGUAUGCCUCUACGUUUGGUAUCACAUAAGUCGAAAGGCAUUCAUCACAGGUUUCUCUAAUUGAUAUAUCUACUGGACAAUAGUAUUGCAUGAUGCAGUUUUUUCCUUAUUUCAACAUCACAUUGAUAAGUCAAUAAAUAAAGCCAACCAAGUCUAGUCCAUUAGUUUCUGUUCUUCUAUAGGCACAUCCAAUCCUAGCAUCUUAUCGCUUGUAUUCAUUUCAAAUUCAGUAAUUAUCCCUCUGCAAAUCUUUUAAAUACAUGUUAACCAUGUGUUAGAAUCUAAUGUAUCUUGGUGAGUUGACACACGUUUGACUUCACACUGAAUUAGCGCUGUGAAUGCUUUUCGCAGGCCAAAUAUAGUAGCCCAUUCCUUCCCCAAUAAAAACACUGCAGAUGAAGCACUAAUAUACAAAGAAAACUCACCAGAGGAUCCCCUCCUUUUAGCCUCACCACAUUGGCGCCAGCCUCAGCGAAGCUCAGAAGCAACUCAUGAAUCUCUUCCUAAAUAUAAUAAAUCAGGAAAGAAAAAAAAACACAAAUUUGAGAACAAUGCACUAUGAAGCCCCGAGAAAAAUCUCAGCCAAAACGGAGGAAAAUAAAAAAUAUCGAUCUUUUGCGACCUCACCGACCUGAGUCCGGCUAUGAUAUCCGGCCGUCUUCCCGACAUAGAGCAUCUUGGCAUCUGCCCUGACGAAACAGAGCACAUCAUUGGACACCAGACGAUCAUAGAGGACGAGAUCGGCCUGCUCGAUCGCCCGCACCGCCUUCAGCGUCAGCAGCUCCGGGUCACCCGGCCCGGUCCCCACCAGCGACACACUCCCCGGCCCGCUGCGGCCGCCGCCGCCUGCCUCCGCCCUCCGGGCGGCCCUCAGCGCCUCCAGCAACCGCUUGAGCUCUGGCAAUUGCAGCGCGAUCUCGUUCUCCCUGUCGCUGAAGUUUUGGUGGGCGGAAACCGGCAGCGGGACGCCGGAUCCGUAAACCCAGCCAUCUCUUCGGUAUCUCUCGGCGGAGUCUUUCUCCGUGAAGGGAGAUGACGGAGAGGCCGCGGCGGAGCAAGAGACGGCGCGUUGUGAUUGACGGCAGGGGAAGAAAGGGGAUACCGGCGAAGGUUUGGAGGAGGGGAGAGAUGGGGAAGAGGAGGAGGAGAAGUGGGAGAGGUUUCUAGCGCGCGAGCAAGAAGACGAGGCGGCGGCUAAGGCCAUGGUGGGAGGGAGUUGAAAUGAGCUCAAAUGGAAGUGAUGGGGGAUUUUGGGGCCGCGACGGCGGCAGAGUGGGUUAGAACGUAGUGGAGUUGUUCUCCAUUUAAAAGAAGGGAAAUGCGUGGAAUAUAUAAUAGGGAAAAGAGGUAGGACGGAUUUGAAGUCAAAUGAAACUUUGUAAGCUUUGGCGAGGCGUUUUUUGGCUGCUGCGUUUUGGCGACGCCGAAGGGGCGAUGGUGGAAGGGAAUGUAGCUCUUGCCUCUUCGUGGUGAGGGAGGACCAGGUUCAGUGAACCUAAUCGUAUUUUUAUACGGUAAGAAAGUCUGUUGUAUUUUUUAAAAAAAAUAAAUUAUUCAUACACUUCUAAUACAAAUGUUUUCAGUAAAAUCAAAACACAGCAUAUUUCGAAACGCACUAGACAGCUUCAGCUCUCCAAUCCAAAGUGUAUCUUCGGAAUAGUUAGUCAGAAAACAUCAAAUCUGCAGCUUCAUUGACCUCUAUGUAGGCAUGCUUAAUCUGAAAGGCCAUCCAAAAAAGAUGUCUUUCAAGUGAUAUUUUUUGUUUCAUUUCAUUUUAAGCAAAUUAGCAUCGUUCACGUAACACACGUGGUAGUGUUUUUAAUUUUGUUUUCUUUCCCUUUGCAGAUCUAGGUAACUAAUUAAAGCUUUUAACUGAAGACAUUAUCUUAACCACGCAACAUUUUCCUCUUCCUUUCCUGAGGCCACAUGAGACAAGGAAACCAAAGUCUUUAAGCAACUUGGUCGAUCCCCUAUACAUAGAGAAUAUUGGUACUUGCGGCACCAGAUUAACCUAACGUAAACAUGAGGACUCUCUGCCGGUCUUGAGUUAACAAAUAAGGAGUGUAGUGACCAGGAUCCAAUUGUAAAUCUAUGAGGGUCCAAGUGCGAACGGCCAAAAAUAUGAUCUAGACUCACAAGGAUCCCACGAUGGAGGAUGAAGAGAUCCUUGAAUACUAUUCAUCAUACUGAUGGUUCAUGAAGGGGCUAUGAUGUUAAUUAUGGUCAUUCUGCAAGAUGGAUUUUGCAUUUCUGAUCAGUUAGAUUAAUUAUCUUCAUCCAAUGGUGAAUCAAACACAUUAAGAAAAUAGUGAAUCAAUGGGCACCAAAGUCCGACAAUUUAAUUUAUUGCAGGCUUAAUGUUGGUCCCCACUGUUAGAUCUUACAAAUAUAGCAAUAGCGCAUGAAGUUGGCGAUCGUCAAUGAGAUUUGCUCAAGAGUGUUGAUGCAACUAGCGUACCAGCUGGGGCUAAAUAUGUCUCUUUCAUCGAAUUAAACAUAUUCUUUCAGAAUACUUUCCUGGUUAUUUUAGAGAAUUCUUAAGAAAUAAAAAGGUUGCACAAAGUAAAAGGUUCAUAGAUCCAUAUAUUUUUAGGAAGGAAGAUGCAGUAGGUCCCUCGGUGAAGUUAACUCUGGAAGAUGAUGAGGGUCGGAUGGGGCAGAGGAGGCUCCGUGAGGCGGAUGCUGAGCUUCAGAGAAAUGUCCAUUGUUUUAAAACGCUUCAGAAACCGACAUAGCUUAUAAAAAGGUGUUACACAAGCCUCAAGGCGCAUCACAUUUUUGUGAUCCAUAAGCUGAUAGUUUUACAUGGGAACAAAUUUUAGUGGUGUGAUAGUUUAUAUUUGUUGCCCAAGGCCUUGAGUUUCGAGUUUGAGUCAUGCAUAGGUAGAGCCUGAUUCUAGACCCGCUUAAUUUGUAAGCAUCUCAAACUGUUCAAAAUAGGAUUGUGUUCAGCUUGGCUAGAUCAAGUGAGAUGCAAAGGAGAAGAAUUCAAUCCUAAUGUUCGAAACCUACUAUUUUAUCGAAAUUAACCUAGCCAAUGAUUUCUUCUGGGAUUCUGGCCAUCUUGUCAAGCAAAAGAAAUCAGUUAAAGGAUCAGCACAUUGGGUUCCAUCUUGAAUUCCCUGCUCUUAAGGCCAAUCUAUCCUAAACUUGCUGCAGACUGAAUUCGAUCUUUUAGAAGGAAAAAAUGCAGCAAGCAGCGCAUAUCAGUCUCGCUUGGACCCAUCCUAGUUCUCAACAAAUAGAAAGAAGAAAAAACAAAAACAAAACAAGUGGAAAGCAGGAAAAAGCAAACACGCGGGGAAAGGUGUUAAACCACCAAGGUGACAAAACAUAGCAUGGAGGCCUUUAGGUUAACUGAAUGCUUAAUGCAAAUAAAGCAAUGGCAUACAAUGCGACAUUCUGAAUGGCUCUUGUAAAUGUCAAACGAGGCAGGGAAGAAAUACAAAAUGUAAGUUGCAACUAAAUAUUCUGAUUCGGCUUUCUUUAUUGCAUAAAAUCCAAAGUCCUGGCCGAAUGAAACCAGCCAGUCAAGGAUGCAGGACUAAAUGUUUUAAGAUUCAUGUCUAAGUUGAAUCUGAAAACAAAGAUCUGAUAUCUUUAUUGGAUACAGGCACCAGCAUGCGGCAUGAUUAAAGUAGAAGUACACAAUCAAGUCUCAUCAAAAAGAAGUGAAUGGCCAGACCUGUGUAUAACUGUUUUGCUGGAUGAAAUAACUCUAAAAAGAAGGUGAUGCACUUUUAUCAUCCAAGCCAGCAUAAAGAAAAUGGUUGAACCAACCAAAGAAUUCUUGGAAACACCCAUACAAUAUUUUAUCUGGAGAAUAUUAACUCGCAUGCUUCAAUAAUUUAGGGGCAAUACCAAGUUUAAGCAGAAUGUUUGAAAUUUCCAAGUUGGAAGGCGUUCAAAAGAAAUCUACUAACUGUAACAGAAAUGUUACUUAUCACCAUCUUCCUCCUUCUUUUGCCCAUAGCGGCGGUUGAACUUUGCAAUCUGACCUAGGCUCUGCGCCAUCUGACGCCUUGCUCUAAAAUGAUAGACUUUGCCAACAUGAUGUAUCUUGGUCAUCAAAACAUGCAUCAAUCUCCCACUCGGAGUCACAUAGGAAAUCCACUGCAUCUGGGGGUGCNNNNNNNNNNNNNNNNNNNNNNNNNNNNNNNNNNNNNNNNNNNNNNNNNNNNNNNNNNNNNNNNNNNNNNNNNNNNNNNNNNNNNNNNNNNNNGAAAUUGAGUUUUCUCAUGACAGAAAGAUUAAUCAACAGAUACAAAUCCUUUUGACCUAACUACAGACCAUCUAACUGAUUUGCAACUCGGGCAACUUCAUUGUAUUUAAGUUGGUAGAUACAGAAAGUGAAAAUUACAGCAAACAUCAAAAUUGCCUAUAUGCAAAUGCAAUAAGGCUGAAGAAGGAAAAUUAUGAUUAAACCGUUUCUCAGAGGGGAUGUACCAUUGCUAUACAUUCUUAAAAUAGAAAAGAAACAUAGAUGAAGAUUAAAUUUUGAAGGCAUAACUAAGUGUUUUAAAAAUAUAUAAAGUAAUGCAUCAUUUUCAUAAUUAUUGUUUUAUGAGUUCACUUCACUUUGGAAACCAACUAGAGCACUAUACACCGCCAAGAUUUCUUUCCCAAUACUCGAAGUCGUCCCCAAAUGCUGGAGAGGCUUACAUUGUAUAAGCAAUAGGGGUGGUAAAAUAUGAUCCAACCCGCCAUAAACAGAUUUGGGUUUGGCUUAAACAGGUUCGGGUCGUAAACAGGUUGAUCCGUUUAACCUGUUUAUUAAUUGGGUCGGAUACAGAUUUUAAAUUUCUGACCCGUUUAAUCUGUAUAACCUGUUUAAUUGUUGGGCUAAUAUAUAAGGGCCAGCCAUNNNNNNNNNNNNNNNNNNNNNNNNNNNNNNNNNNNNNNNNNNNNNNNNNNNNNNNNNNNNNNNNNNNNNNNNNNNNNNNNNNNNNNNNNNNNNNNNNNNNNNNNNNNNNNNNNNNNNNNNNNNNNNNNNNNNNNNNNNNNNNNNNNNNNNNNNNNNNNNNNNNNNNNNNNNNNNNNNNNNNNNNNNNNNNNNNNNNNNNNNNNNNNNNNNNNNNNNNNNNNNNNNNNNNNNNNNNNNNNNNNNNNNNNNNNNNNNNNNNNNNNNNNNNNNNNNNNNNNNNNNNNNNNNNNNNNNNNNNNNNNNNNNNNNNNNNNNNNNNNNNNNNNNNNNNNNNNNNNNNNNNNNNNNNNNNNNNNNNNNNNNNNNNNNNNNNNNNNNNNNNNNNNNNNNNNNNNNNNNNNNNNNNNNNNNNNNNNNNNNNNNNNNNNNNNNNNNNNNNNNNNNNNNNNNNNNNNNNNNNNNNNNNNNNNNNNNNNNNNNNNNNNNNNNNNNNNNNNNNNNNNNNNNNNNNNNNNNNNNNNNNNNNNNNNNNNNNNNNNNNNNNNNNNNNNNNNAAUCAUUAGCUAACUGUUUGGCACAAAGCUUUUCUCGCCAUCUCGGGAUGGGCGUGCCAGAGAGCUUGUUUGAUAAAUCCUCGUGGCAAGUGGUAAAAAGAUGCAUAGGCAUGCCACCGGCGUUAGAGCAACCGAAAAGAGGAUAAUUGAACGAAGGAUAUCAAACUAGCGUUUGUCCAAGUGCUUGGACCUUCAAGGACUUUUGCCAUUGUCGUAUCGCCAUUCGAAAGAAAAUGGAGAGGGAUAGGAUGUAGCUUGAGCUACGGUAGGAAAAAUCUAAGUCAUUUUGGAAUAUCAAAGUCAUUUUGAGCAGCUUGUCAAUAGAGCUUGUAAUUGGCCAAAACGGCAACUUGUUGGAACUUUUAUUGAAGGACUUUGCUCAUACAUUCGUUGUGAGAUGAAGAUGUAUAAGCCCUACAUUAUAUCGGUAGCUAUCUCUUUUGCCCGAUUAUGAAAGGAAAGACUCAUUAAAAAAUACCUCAUGCUUAAACAAGAGAGUAAAUAACAAGAAAUUCGUAAAUUUCAAGAAGAUACACUCAACAACAAAUAUGUUAAGUGGCUUACACAAGAGGAUCUCAUGGACAGAAUAAGCCAAGGCAAAUGUUAGCAUUGUGAUGAAAAAUGGCAUAGAGGAAAUUGCUAGNNNNNNNNNNNNNNNNNNNNNNNNNNNNNNNNNNNNNNNNNNNNNNNNNNNNNNNNNNNNNNNNNNNNNNNNNNNNNNNNNNNNNNNNNNNNNNNNNNNNNNNNNNNNNNNNNNNNNNNNNNNNNNNNNNNNNNNNNNNNNNNNNNNNNNNNNNNNNNNNNNNNNNNNNNNNNNNNNNNNNNNNNNNNNNNNNNNNNNNNNNNNNNNNNNNNNNNNNNNNNNNNNNNNNNNNNNNNNNNNNNNNNNNNNNNNNNNNNNNNNNNNNNNNNNNNNNNNNNNNNNNNNNNNNNNNNNNNNNNNNNNNNNNNNNNNNNNNNNNNNNNNNNNNNNNNNNNNNNNNNNNNNNNNNNNNNNNNNNNNNNNNNNNNNNNNNNNNNNNNNNNNNNNNNNNNNNNNNNNNNNNNNNNNNNNNNNNNNNNNNNNNNNNNNNNNNNNNNNNNNNNNNNNNNNNNNNNNNNNNNNNNNNNNNNNNNNNNNNNNNNNNNNNNNNNNNNNNNNNNNNNNNNNNNNNNNNNNNNNNNNNNNNNNNNNNNNNNNNNNNNNNNNNNNNNNNNNNNNNNNNNNNNNNNNNNNNNNNNNNNNNNNNNNNNNNNGUAUUUUUUUUUAAAAAAAAAAUUAUUCAUACACUUCUAAUACAAAUGUUUUCAGUAAAAUCAAAACACAGCAUAUUUCGAAACGCACUAGACAGCUUCAGCUCUCCAAUCCAAAGUGUAUCUUCGGAAUAGUUAGUCAGAAAACAUCCAAUCUGCAGCUUCAUUGACCUCUCUGUAGAUAUGCUUAAUCUGAAAGGCCAUCCAAAAAAGAUGUCUUUCAAGUGAUAUUUUUUGUUUCAUUCCAUUUUAAGCAAAUUAGCAUCGUUCACGUAACACACGUGGUAGUGUUUUUAAUUUUGUUUUCUUUCCCUUUGCAGAUCUAGGUAACUAAUUAAAGCUUUUAACUGAAGACACUAUCUUAACCACGCAACAUUUUCCUCUUCCUUUCCUGAGGCCACAUGAGACACCAAUCAAGGAAACCAAAGUCUUUAAGCAAUUCAACUUGGUCGAUCCCCUAUACAUAGAGAAUAUUGGUACUUGCGGCACCAGAUUAACCUAACGUAAACAUGAGGACUCUCUGCCGGUCUUGAGUUAACAAAUAAGGAGUGUAGUGACCUGGAUCCAAUCGUAAAUCUAUGAGGGUCCAAGUGCGAACGGCCAAAAAUAUGAUCUAGACUCACAAGGAUCCCAUGAUGGAGGAAGAAGAGAUCCUUGAAUAUUAUUCAUCAUACUAAUGGUUCAUGAAGGGGCUAUGAUGUUAAUUAUGGUCAUUCUGCAAGAUGGAUUUGCAUUUCUGAUUAGUUGGAUUAAUUAUCUUCAUCCAAGGGUGAAUCAAACACAUUAAGAAAAUAGCGAAUCAAUGAGCAGCAAAGUCCGACAAUUUAAUUUAUUGCAGGCUUAAUGUCGGUCCCUACUGUUAGAUCUUAAAAAUAUAGCAAUAGUGCAUCAAGUUGGCAAUCGUCAAUGAGAUUUGCUCGACAGUGUUGAUGCAACUAGCGUACCAGGUGGGGCUAAAUAUGUCUCUUUCAUCGAAUUAAACAUAUUCUUUCAGAAUACUUUCCUGGUUAUUUUAGAGAAUUCUUAAGAAAUAAAAAGGUUGCACAAAGUAAAAGGUUCAUAGAUCCAUAUAUUUUUAGGAAGGAAGAUGCAGUAGGUCCCUCGGUGAAGUUAACUCUGGAAGAUGAUGAGGGUCGGAUGGGGCAGAGGAGGCUCCGUGAGGCGGAUGCUGAGCUUCAGAGAAAUGUCCAUUGUUUUAAAACGCUUCAGAAACCGACAUAGCUUAUAAAAAGGUGUUACACAAGCCUCAAGGCGCAUCACAUUUUUGUGAUCCAUAAGCUGAUAGUUUUACAUGGGAACAAAUUUUAGUGGUGUGAUAGUUUAUAUUUGUUGCCCAAGGCCUUGAGUUUCGAGUUUGAGUCAUGCAUAGGUAGAGCCUGAUUCUAGACCCGCUUAAUUUGUAAGCAUCUCAAACUGUUCAAAAUAGGAUUGUGUUCAGCUUGGCUAGAUCAAGUGAGAUGCAAAGGAGAAGAAUUCAAUCCUAAUGUUCGAAACCUACUAUUUUAUCGAAAUUAACCUAGCCAAUGAUUUCUUCUGGGAUUCUGGCCAUCUUGUCAAGCAAAAGAAAUCAGUUAAAGGAUCAGCACAUUGGGUUCCAUCUUGAAUUCCCUGCUCUUAAGGCCAAUCUAUCCUAAACUUGCUGCAGACUGAAUUCGAUCUUUUAGAAGGAAAAAAUGCAGCAAGCAGCGCAUAUCAGUCUCGCUUGGACCCAUCCUAGUUCUCAACAAAUAGAAAGAAGAAAAAACAAAAACAAAACAAGUGGAAAGCAGGAAAAAGCAAACACGCGGGGAAAGGUGUUAAACCACCAAGGUGACAAAACAUAGCAUGGAGGCCUUUAGGUUAACUGAAUGCUUAAUGCAAAUAAAGCAAUGGCAUACAAUGCGACAUUCUGAAUGGCUCUUGUAAAUGUCAAACGAGGCAGGGAAGAAAUACAAAAUGUAAGUUGCAACUAAAUAUUCUGAUUCGGCUUUCUUUAUUGCAUAAAAUCCAAAGUCCUGGCCGAAUGAAACCAGCCAGUCAAGGAUGCAGGACUAAAUGUUUUAAGAUUCAUGUCUAAGUUGAAUCUGAAAACAAAGAUCUGAUAUCUUUAUUGGAUACAGGCACCAGCAUGCGGCAUGAUUAAAGUAGAAGUACACAAUCAAGUCUCAUCAAAAAGAAGUGAAUGGCCAGACCUGUGUAUAACUGUUUUGCUGGAUGAAAUAACUCUAAAAAGAAGGUGAUGCACUUUUAUCAUCCAAGCCAGCAUAAAGAAAAUGGUUGAACCGUAUUUUUUUUUAAAAAAAAAAUUAUUCAUACACUUCUAAUACAAAUGUUUUCAGUAAAAUCAAAACACAGCAUAUUUCGAAACGCACUAGACAGCUUCAGCUCUCCAAUCCAAAGUGUAUCUUCGGAAUAGUUAGUCAGAAAACAUCCAAUCUGCAGCUUCAUUGACCUCUCUGUAGAUAUGCUUAAUCUGAAAGGCCAUCCAAAAAAGAUGUCUUUCAAGUGAUAUUUUUUGUUUCAUUCCAUUUUAAGCAAAUUAGCAUCGUUCACGUAACACACGUGGUAGUGUUUUUAAUUUUGUUUUCUUUCCCUUUGCAGAUCUAGGUAACUAAUUAAAGCUUUUAACUGAAGACACUAUCUUAACCACGCAACAUUUUCCUCUUCCUUUCCUGAGGCCACAUGAGACACCAAUCAAGGAAACCAAAGUCUUUAAGCAAUUCAACUUGGUCGAUCCCCUAUACAUAGAGAAUAUUGGUACUUGCGGCACCAGAUUAACCUAACGUAAACAUGAGGACUCUCUGCCGGUCUUGAGUUAACAAAUAAGGAGUGUAGUGACCUGGAUCCAAUCGUAAAUCUAUGAGGGUCCAAGUGCGAACGGCCAAAAAUAUGAUCUAGACUCACAAGGAUCCCAUGAUGGAGGAAGAAGAGAUCCUUGAAUAUUAUUCAUCAUACUAAUGGUUCAUGAAGGGGCUAUGAUGUUAAUUAUGGUCAUUCUGCAAGAUGGAUUUGCAUUUCUGAUUAGUUGGAUUAAUUAUCUUCAUCCAAGGGUGAAUCAAACACAUUAAGAAAAUAGCGAAUCAAUGAGCAGCAAAGUCCGACAAUUUAAUUUAUUGCAGGCUUAAUGUCGGUCCCUACUGUUAGAUCUUAAAAAUAUAGCAAUAGUGCAUCAAGUUGGCAAUCGUCAAUGAGAUUUGCUCGACAGUGUUGAUGCAACUAGCGUACCAGGUGGGGCUAAAUAUGUCUCUUUCAUCGAAUUAAACAUAUUCUUUCAGAAUACUUUCCUGGUUAUUUUAGAGAAUUCUUAAGAAAUAAAAAGGUUGCACAAAGUAAAAGGUUCAUAGAUCCAUAUAUUUUUAGGAAGGAAGAUGCAGUAGGUCCCUCGGUGAAGUUAACUCUGGAAGAUGAUGAGGGUCGGAUGGGGCAGAGGAGGCUCCGUGAGGCGGAUGCUGAGCUUCAGAGAAAUGUCCAUUGUUUUAAAACGCUUCAGAAACCGACAUAGCUUAUAAAAAGGUGUUACACAAGCCUCAAGGCGCAUCACAUUUUUGUGAUCCAUAAGCUGAUAGUUUUACAUGGGAACAAAUUUUAGUGGUGUGAUAGUUUAUAUUUGUUGCCCAAGGCCUUGAGUUUCGAGUUUGAGUCAUGCAUAGGUAGAGCCUGAUUCUAGACCCGCUUAAUUUGUAAGCAUCUCAAACUGUUCAAAAUAGGAUUGUGUUCAGCUUGGCUAGAUCAAGUGAGAUGCAAAGGAGAAGAAUUCAAUCCUAAUGUUCGAAACCUACUAUUUUAUCGAAAUUAACCUAGCCAAUGAUUUCUUCUGGGAUUCUGGCCAUCUUGUCAAGCAAAAGAAAUCAGUUAAAGGAUCAGCACAUUGGGUUCCAUCUUGAAUUCCCUGCUCUUAAGGCCAAUCUAUCCUAAACUUGCUGCAGACUGAAUUCGAUCUUUUAGAAGGAAAAAAUGCAGCAAGCAGCGCAUAUCAGUCUCGCUUGGACCCAUCCUAGUUCUCAACAAAUAGAAAGAAGAAAAAACAAAAACAAAACAAGUGGAAAGCAGGAAAAAGCAAACACGCGGGGAAAGGUGUUAAACCACCAAGGUGACAAAACAUAGCAUGGAGGCCUUUAGGUUAACUGAAUGCUUAAUGCAAAUAAAGCAAUGGCAUACAAUGCGACAUUCUGAAUGGCUCUUGUAAAUGUCAAACGAGGCAGGGAAGAAAUACAAAAUGUAAGUUGCAACUAAAUAUUCUGAUUCGGCUUUCUUUAUUGCAUAAAAUCCAAAGUCCUGGCCGAAUGAAACCAGCCAGUCAAGGAUGCAGGACUAAAUGUUUUAAGAUUCAUGUCUAAGUUGAAUCUGAAAACAAAGAUCUGAUAUCUUUAUUGGAUACAGGCACCAGCAUGCGGCAUGAUUAAAGUAGAAGUACACAAUCAAGUCUCAUCAAAAAGAAGUGAAUGGCCAGACCUGUGUAUAACUGUUUUGCUGGAUGAAAUAACUCUAAAAAGAAGGUGAUGCACUUUUAUCAUCCAAGCCAGCAUAAAGAAAAUGGUUGAACCAGCAAAAGAAUUCUUGGAAACACCCAUACAAUAUUUUAUCUGGAGAAUAUUAACUCGCAUGCUUCAAUAAUUUAGGGGCAAUAGAAGGUUCGCUGUACCGGUCGGUACCGGUCGGUACCGAGCGUACCGUACCCGUACCGAUGGGUACCGGUAUCGGUACACCAAUGUCGGUACGGUCGGUACCGAGCGUACGGUACCGUACCGACACUCGGUACGCCUAUACUAGUGCGGCACCGGUACGGGGUUCGGUACCGGUACGGCGAACCUUGGGCAAUACCAAGUUUAAGCAGAAUGUUUGAAAUUUCCAAGUUGGAAGGCGUUCAAAAGAAAUCUACUAACUGUAACAGAAAUGUUACUUAUCACCAUCUUCCUCCUUCUUUUGCCCAUAGCGGCGGUUGAACUUUGCAAUCUGACCUAGGCUCUGCGCCAUCUGACGCCUUGCUCUAAAAUGAUAGACUUUGCCAACAUGAUGUAUCUUGGUCAUCAAAACAUGCAUCAAUCUCCCACUCGGAGUCACAUAGGAAAUCCACUGCAUCUGGGGGUCCNNNNNNNNNNNNNNNNNNNNNNNNNNNNNNNNNNNNNNNNNNNNNNNNNNNNNNNNNNNNNNNNNNNNNNNNNNNNNNNNNNNNNNNNNNNNNGAAAUUGAGUUUUCUCAUGACAGAAAGAUUAAUCAACAGAUACAAAUCCUUUUGACCUAACUACAGACCAUCUAACUGAUUUGCAACUCGGGCAACUUCAUUGUAUUUAAGUUGGUAGAUACAGAAAGUGAAAAUUACAGCAAACAUCAAAAUUGCCUAUAUGCAAAUGCAAUAAGGCUGAAGAAGGAAAAUUAUGAUUAAACCGUUUCUCAGAGGGGAUGUACCAUUGCUAUACAUUCUUAAAAUAGAAAAGAAACAUAGAUGAAGAUUAAAUUUUGAAGGCAUAACUAAGUGUUUUAAAAAUAUAUAAAGUAAUGCAUCAUUUUCAUAAUUAUUGUUUUAUGAGUUCACUUCACUUUGGAAACCAACUAGAGCACUAUACACCGCCAAGAUUUCUUUCCCAAUACUCGAAGUCGUCCCCAAAUGCUGGAGAGGCUUACAUUGUAUAAGCAAUAGGGGUGGUAAAAUAUGAUCCAACCCGCCAUAAACAGAUUUGGGUUUGGCUUAAACAGGUUCGGGUCGUAAACAGGUUGAUCCGUUUAACCUGUUUAUUAAUUGGGUCGGAUACAGAUUUUAAAUUUCUGACCCGUUUAAUCUGUAUAACCUGUUUAAUUGUUGGGCUAAUAUAUAAGGGCCAGCCAUACUCCCUGCCUCGGCCCGCUUUCACCGCCUCGGCCCAACUCCCCGCUUCGGCCCGCUUUCACCGCGAGGUCCACCGUCCGGUUUCACAGUUUCACCGCGAGGUUGAUUGGACGUAAAAGGCGUCGCUUAGGGUUUGUGUCUUUGUGAGCGCCGCCCGAGCUCCAUUCCCUCAGUCCCUCUCCCCUCUCCUAGUCUUCCUCUCCUCCGGACCUCCGCCCUCUCCUCCCCCUUGCCGACUCCUUCCGCCUCCCCGUCGACGGCGACCGCAGCGGCUCGACGGGUUCCUAGGACGUUGCUUCCGCCUUCUUGGGGCUUUUCGUCGUCUCGCGACUUGCCGGCGGACGGUGACUGCUUUGUCUUCUCCACGGCGACGGCCUCCGUCUCCUGCCCUAUCCGUGCGUUCUCUCCCCUUCUCCGCUAGUAGUAUAGUCAUGCUAUCUCUGAUUUCCUUCCGCCAUCUCUUUCUGUCUCUGUUUCUUGAUCUUAGGGAUCUUGGAUCUCAAAGCGGCGGAGGACGUGAGGGCGCUCUUUCUCUUCUUCAAAGCGGCGACUACUGUGGAGUCCAGCAGCGCUGCAGCAGGUAUGCCGGUGGAGGGAAAUGGUUUGGUUUUUACUUUUUAUGGUUUGAUUCAUGGCGAAGGCUAGGGCUUCCAGAUUUUUUCCCCCACCCGAAUCGAAGCCGUCGAUGAUUUCCGGAGAGAAAAAAAUUUGGGGAUGGCGCCUAGAAUCCUAGAUCAGAGAUUUUGAGGGCUCCCGUUUCCAUUUUCUUUUAUUUUUUCCAAUAAAAAAAUUGUAAUCUGUUAAUUUCUCUCCUCCCCUUGUUCCUCUCCGUGUUUUCUUUUUACUUAAUUUCUGGUUAAAUUUAUUUUUUUAAAAAAAUUGCUUGACCGUGUUAAUAUUGGUGGAUUUAUUGUUGGCACUGUCCAUGGCUUAUAUGCUAACUAUCUAAUUUAACUAUUUAAGUCCAAUAGUUAAACGAGUCGGGUUGGGUUAAAUGGGUUAGCUGUUUGUUAAACGGGUUAAACGGGUCGGGUUACCCAUUUAAUAAACAUGUCAGGUUCAGGUUGUAAUUUUCUAACCUGUUUAAUAAACAGGUCGGGUUCAGGUUUAUGAUUUUUUGACCCGACUUGCAUCUGAUCCGACCUGUUUAUGUCCGACCCAACCCGAUUGCCACCCCUAAUAAGCAAUCAUUAGCUAAUUGUUUGGCACAAAGCUUUUCUCGCCAUCUCGGGAUGGGCGUGCCAGAGAGCUUGUUUGAUAAAUCCUCGUGGCAAGUGGUAAAAAGAUGCAUAGGCAUGCCACCGGCGUUAGAGCAACCGAAAAGAGGAUAAUUGAAGGAAGGAUAUCAAACUAGCGUUUGUCCAAGUGCUUGGACCUUCAAGGACUUUUGCCAUUGUCAUAUUGCCGUUCGAAAGAAAAUGGAGAGGGAUAGGAUGUAGCCUGAGCUACGGUAGGAAAAAUAUAAGUCAUUUUGGAAUAUCAAAGUCAUUUUGAGCGGCUUGUCAAUAGAGCUUGUAAUUGGCCAAAACGGUAACUUGUUGGAACUUUUAUUGAAGGACUUUGCUCAUACAUUCAUUGUGAGAUGAAGAUGUAUAAGCCCUACAUUAUAUUGGUAGCUAUCUCUUUUGCCCGAUUAUGAAAGGAAAGACUCAUUAAAAAUACCUCAUGCUUAAACAAGAGAGUAAAUAACAAGAAAUUCGUAAAUUUCAAGAAGAUACACUCAACAACAAAUAUGUUAAGUGGCUUACACAAGAGGAUCUCAUGGACAGAAUAAGCCAAGGCAAAUGUUAGCAUUGUGAUGAAAAAUGGCAUAGAGAAAAUUGCUAGAAAAAGAUAAUUUUUCUUAUCGAACCUGCACAUAUUGACACUUCACAAGAUGAAGAAGAUGAAGAUGAUCGCCAUGUACCACCUAGACAAAUAUAAUCUUGAGAACAAGAUCAUCUAGAAGUGAAAGGGAAUGAUAUGCUUCUUAUCUUAGGAUCCUAAUUUUAAUUUGAUUUAGCACAAGAAUUAGGAGGAGUCCAAGUUUAAUAAAGAUUGGCUACAUCAUAUUCCUAUUUUGCUUUUUCUUAUUCUUGUAGGACAAUUAACUCUGAAUCUAUAUAUACGUAGUGCUCUAGACAAGCAAUGAAUUUAAUAAAAAUAGUGUAAAGGCUAUUCGAGGUCCAAAACCUCUUGAAUUGAUCGAAUACUCUUUCUUCUACCUAUAUCUCUAUUUUUCUAUUUUCUUUUGCUCGAAAUUCUAUCAAUAGUAAGUGGGUUCCUAUCAAACAGAAUACAUACACAUAUAUAUACGACUUUUCAAAAACUAGUCUCGCAUUAUAAAAAUUUCAUCAUGACAUGAAGAUGAAAUAUCUUUUUUUCGUAUCCUAACAUCGAACUAGAAAGAGGAGACUAACUGAACAAAUUUAGUUCAAUGUCGAGAAGUUAUGUAAUUUAAAAACUAUCCUUACUGCAAGGAGAGGGGAAAACCUAUGAUUUAAACCCACCCCCCACCCCAACCUUCGGGGCGUCUCAUGGCCUGCUUUCACCUGUUCUCCGAACCUAAAGCGGUGAUUUUUCACGAAGCUUGUCGAAAGAAAUCAAACAAAUGGAUUAUCGCAUUUCAAUAGUUUAAUGGGUUAUCAUCUUCGAAUCAAAAUUUACAACAAUUCAAAAAACUAGAAUAGUAUAUUAGAGAGACAGAGAGAGAGAGACCUGCCGGUCGCCGGUCCGAGGUUACAGAGGUUGAGCUUUGAGGGUGAGUCGAGAGAGAUCUGCAGCCGCCCAACAGGAACCCUAGUCCUUAAAUCCAAGGAGGCCCUUGGCAAAGCAAAUGGGCCGAGUUAAUUUUGUCUAGGGCUAAUCCCGGCUCGAUUCCGUUUAACGUGAGCUAGGAAAGGGGAUUGUGGGACAAGAUCCCGCCCCCCAGCCCCACUGGCGUCUCUAGGUUACUAGGCUCGUCUUGGAAGUUUAUUUGGAUAAUUGGGCUGAAAAUCUUAUGAAAUUUAUGGACUAAGGCCUUGUUUGGAGGAGCUUUUGAAGGGCCAAAAAGCACUUUCUGGCCCUCCUAAAGCACUUUUGGAUAAAAAAAGAUGUUUGGUAAAAAUUUUGGAAAGCUGUUUUAGCUUUUUCAGAAAGUUAAAAACAGCUUUUUGGGGAAAGCUCCAAUUUGGAGCUUUUUGAAAAAGCUGUUUUGAGCUUUGUCGGAAAGCUUUUUUUCCACCAAAAUACCCAUAAUAAAAUAUAAUAAUUACAUACUUUGUCCCUUUAUAAACCUAAAAAUCUGCCCUAACAAAUAAUCCUAGCCGUGGAUUAGACUCUCUUCUAUGCAAGAAGUAUUUUUAUUUUCUAUUUUUGUAUGCAUCUUUUGAAUCACGUUUUAGGAAAAGAAAUUUUUUAAUUUCUUCUUUUAGAUGCAUUAAAAUCUGUUUUUAUGGCCUUUUGAGAAAAUAGAUGAAGUAAAGGAUGGUAAUUUUACAAGAGAUGCCAUUUACAACAGUUGAACACCCAGCUUUUCAAAUGUUUGUUAGGAAUCUGAGACCAGAAUUUCAUAUUGUUUCAAGAACAACAUUAGCUUCUGAUUGCUUUAAAAUAUAUGAAAAUGAAAAAAAAUGAAGACUUGAAGAUUUCUUCAAGACGAACCAUGGAAGAAUCAGUUUAACAUUGGAUAUGUGGACAUCAAAUCAGACAUUGGAAUACAUGUAUCUCACUACACAUUACAUCACUAAUGAUUGAAAAUUAAAAAAGAAUAUUAUCAAUUUUAAGUUGGUUCCUUCACCACAUACGGGCUUAGUCAUUAGUGAUGCUAUUGCUAGCUGUAUUUUAUCUUGGAAUAUUGAGAAAAGGUUGGGUUCAAUCAUUCUUGAUAAUUUGUCAGCAAAUACAGUUGUAGCAAUAUAACUUCAAAAACAAUUCAGAAAAGAUUUACUUUUGGAUGGUAAAUUCUUUCAUGUGCAUUACUGUGCACAUAUUCUUAAUUUGAUUGUGAAGGAUGGGUUGAAGGUAGUGGAGGGUGCUAUUCAUAGGAUCCGCGAAGCUGCUAAAUAUAUAAAAUCAUCUCAAGGAAGGUUGGAAUUGUUUAUGGGAAUUGUGAAACAAUUGAAGAUGAAUGGUAAGAAAAGGAUAUGCAUAGAUGUACCUACUCGUUGGAAUUCUACAUAUCUCAUGUUAAACGAUGUUAUACAAUUCAAGGAUGUAUUUAUGCGACUUGUGGCCCGGGAUUCUAAUAAACAUUUGAAAAGCUGGGUGUUCAACUGUUGUAAAUGGCAUCUCUUGUAAAAUUACCAUCCUUUACUUCAUCUAUUUUCUCAAAAGGCCAUAAAAACAGAUUUUAAUGCAUCUAAAAGCAGAAAUUAAAAUUUUUUUCCCUAAAACGUGAUUCAAAAGAUGCAUACAAACAUAGAAAAUAAAAAUACUUUUUCUUGCACAGAAGAGAGUCUAAUCCACGGCUAGGGUUCUUUGUUAGGGCAGAUUUUUAGGUUUAUAAAGGGACAAAGUAUGUAAUUAUUAUAUUUUAUUAUGGGUAUUUUGGUGAAAAAAAGCUUUCCGACAAAGCUCAAAAUAGCUUUUUCGAAAAGCUCCAAAUUGGAGCUUUUUUUAAAAAGCUGUUUUUAGCUUUCUGAAAAAGCUAAAACAGCUUUUCCAAAAUUUUUACCAAAUAUCUUUUUUUAAUCCAAAAGUGCUUUAGGAGGGCCAGAAAGUGCUUUUUGGCCCUUCAAAAGCUCCUCCAAACAAGGCCUUAGUCCAUAAAUUUCAUAAGAUUUUCAGCCCAAUUAUCCAAAUAAACUUCCAAGACGAGCCUAGUAACCUAGAGACGCCAGUGGGGCUGGGGGGCGGGAUCUUGUCCCACAAUCCCCUUUCCUAGCUCACGUUAAACGGAAUCGAGCCGGGAUUAGCCCUAGACAAAAUUAACUCGGCCCAUUUGCUUUGCCAAGGGCCUCCUUGGAUUUAAGGACUAGGGUUCCUGUUGGGCGGCUGCAGAUCUCUCUCGACUCACCCUCAAAGCUCAACCUCUGUAACCUCGGACCGGCGACCGGCAGGUCUCUCUCUCUCUGUCUCUCUAAUAUACUAUUCUAGUUUUUUGAAUUGUUGUAAAUUUUGAUUCGAAGAUGAUAACCCAUUAAACUAUUGAAAUGCGAUAAUCCAUUUGUUUGAUUUCUUUCGACAAGCUUCGUGAAAAAUCACCGCUUUAGGUUCGGAGAACAGGUGAAAGCAGGCCAUGAGACGCCCCGAAGGUUGGGGUGGGGGGUGGGUUUAAAUCAUAGGUUUUCCCCUCUCCUUGCAGUAAGGAUAGUUUUUAAAUUACAUAACUUCUCGACAUUGAACUAAAUUUGUUCAGUUAGUCUCCUCUUUCUAGUUCGAUGUUAGGAUACGAAAAAAAGAUAUUUCAUCUUCAUGUCAUGAUGAAAUUUUUAUAAUGCGAGACUAGUUUUUGAAAAGUCGUAUAUAUAUGUGUAUGUAUUCUGUUUGAUAGGAACCCACUUACUAUUGAUAGAAUUUCGAGCAAAAGAAAAUAGAAAAAUAGAGAUAUAGGUAGAAGAAAGAGUAUUCGAUCAAUUCAAGAGGUUUUGGACCUCGAAUAGCCUUUACACUAUUUUUAUUAAAUUCAUUGCUUGUCUAGAGCACUACGUAUAUAUAGAUUCAGAGUUAAUUGUCCUACAAGAAUAAGAAAAAGCAAAAUAGGAAUAUGAUGUAGCCAAUCUUUAUUAAACUUGGACUCCUCCUAAUUCUUGUGCUAAAUCAAAUUAAAAUUAGGAUCCUAAGAUAAGAAGCAUAUCAUUCCCUUUCACUUCUAGAUGAUCUUGUUCUCAAGAUUAUAUUUGUCUAGGUGGUACAUGGCGAUCAUCUUCAUCUUCUUCAUCUUGUGAAGUGUCAAUAUGUGCAGGUUCGAUAAGAAAAAUUAUCUUUUUCUAGCAAUUUUCUCUAUGCCAUUUUUCAUCACAAUGCUAACAUUUGCCUUGGCUUAUUCUGUCCAUGAGAUCCUCUUGUGUAAGCCACUUAACAUAUUUGUUGUUGAGUGUAUCUUCUUGAAAUUUACGAAUUUCUUGUUAUUUACUCUCUUGUUUAAGCAUGAGGUAUUUUUAAUGAGUCUUUCCUUUCAUAAUCGGGCAAAAGAGAUAGCUACCAAUAUAAUGUAGGGCUUAUACAUCUUCAUCUCACAAUGAAUGUAUGAGCAAAGUCCUUCAAUAAAAGUUCCAACAAGUUACCGUUUUGGCCAAUUACAAGCUCUAUUGACAAGCCGCUCAAAAUGACUUUGAUAUUCCAAAAUGACUUAAAUUUUUCCUACCGUAGCUCAGGCUACAUCCUAUCCCUCUCCAUUUUCUUUCGAACGGCAAUAUGAUAAUGGCAAAAGUCCUUAAAGGUCCAAGCACUUGGACAAACGCUAGUUUGAUAUCCUUCCUUCAAUUAUCCUCUUUUCGGUUGCUCUAACGCCGGUGGCAUGCCUAUGCAUCUUUUUACCACUUGCCACGAGGAUUUAUCAAACAAGCUCUCUGGCACGCCCAUCCCGAGAUGGCGAGAAAAGCUUUGUGCCAAACAGUUAGCUAAUGAUUGCUUAUUAGGGGUGACAAUCGGGUUGGGUCGGACAUAAACAGGUCCGAUCAUAUGCAAGUCGGGUCAAAAAAUCAUAAACCUGAACCCGACCUGUUUAUUAAACAGGUUAGAAAAUUACAACCUGAACCUGACCUGUUUAUUAAAUGGGUAACCUGACCCGUUUAACCCGUUUAACAAACAGCUAACCCGUUUAACCCAGCCCGACUCGUUUAACCUAACCCGACCCGUUUAACUAUUGGACUUAAAUAGUUAAAUUAGAUAGUUGGCGUAUAAGCCAUGGACAGUGCCAACAAUAAAUCCACCAAUAUUAACACGGUCAAGCAAUUUUUUAAAAAAAAUAAAUUUAACCAGAAAUUAAGUAAAAAGAAAACACGGAGAGGAACAAGGGAAGGAGAGAAAUUAACAGAUUACAAUUUUUUUAUUGGAAAAAAUAAAAGAAAAUGGAAACGGGAGCCCUCAAAAUCUCUGAUCUAGGAUUCUAGGCGCCAUCCCCAAAUUUUUUUCUCUCCGGAAAUCAUCGACGGCUUCGAUUCGGGUGGGGGAAAAAAUCUGGAAGCCCUAGCCUUCGCCAUGAAUCAAACCAUAAAAAGUAAAAACCAAACCAUUUCCCUCCACCGGCAUACCUGCUGCAGCGCUGCUGGACUCCACAGUAGUCGCCGCUUUGAAGAAGAGAAAGAGCGCCCUCACGUCCUCCGCCGCUUUGAGAUCCAAGAUCCCUAAGAUCAAGAAACAGAGACAGAAAGAGAUGGCGGAAGGAAAUCAGAGAUAGCAUGACUAUACUACUAGCGGAGAAGGGGAGAGAACGCACGGAUAGGGCAGGAGACGGAGGCCGUCGCCGUGGAGAAGACAAAGCAGUCACCGUCCGCCGGCAAGUCGCGAGACGACGAAAAGCCCCAAGAAGGCGGAAGCAACGUCCUAGGAACCCGUCGAGCCGCUGCGGUCGCCGUCGACGGGGAGGCGGAAGGAGUCGGCAAGGGGGAGGAGAGGGCGGAGGUCCGGAGGAGAGGAAGACUAGGAGAGGGGAGAGGGACUGAGGGAAUGGAGCUCGGGCGGCGCUCACAAAGACACAAACCCUAAGCGACGCCUUUUACGUCCAAUCAACCUCGCGGUGAAACUGUGAAACCGGACGGUGGACCUCGCGGUGAAAGCGGGCCGAAGCGGGGAGUUGGGCCGAGGCGGUGAAAGCGGGCCGAGGCAGGGAGUGAAAUUGAGUUUUCUCAUGACAGAAAGAUUAAUCAACAGAUACAAAUCCUUUUGACCUAACUACAGACCAUCUAACUGAUUUGCAACUCGGGCAACUUCAUUGUAUUUAAGUUGGUAGAUACAGAAAGUGAAAAUUACAGCAAACAUCAAAAUUGCCUAUAUGCAAAUGCAAUAAGGCUGAAGAAGGAAAAUUAUGAUUAAACCGUUUCUCAGAGGGGAUGUACCAUUGCUAUACAUUCUUAAAAUAGAAAAGAAACAUAGAUGAAGAUUAAAUUUUGAAGGCAUAACUAAGUGUUUUAAAAAUAUAUAAAGUAAUGCAUCAUUUUCAUAAUUAUUGUUUUAUGAGUUCACUUCACUUUGGAAACCAACUAGAGCACUAUACACCGCCAAGAUUUCUUUCCCAAUACUCGAAGUCGUCCCCAAAUGCUGGAGAGGCUUACAUUGUAUAAGCAAUAGGGGUGGUAAAAUAUGAUCCAACCCGCCAUAAACAGAUUUGGGUUUGGCUUAAACAGGUUCGGGUCGUAAACAGGUUGAUCCGUUUAACCUGUUUAUUAAUUGGGUCGGAUACAGAUUUUAAAUUUCUGACCCGUUUAAUCUGUAUAACCUGUUUAAUUGUUGGGCUAAUAUAUAAGGGCCAGCCAUACUCCCUGCCUCGGCCCGCUUUCACCGCCUCGGCCCAACUCCCCGCUUCGGCCCGCUUUCACCGCGAGGUCCACCGUCCGGUUUCACAGUUUCACCGCGAGGUUGAUUGGACGUAAAAGGCGUCGCUUAGGGUUUGUGUCUUUGUGAGCGCCGCCCGAGCUCCAUUCCCUCAGUCCCUCUCCCCUCUCCUAGUCUUCCUCUCCUCCGGACCUCCGCCCUCUCCUCCCCCUUGCCGACUCCUUCCGCCUCCCCGUCGACGGCGACCGCAGCGGCUCGACGGGUUCCUAGGACGUUGCUUCCGCCUUCUUGGGGCUUUUCGUCGUCUCGCGACUUGCCGGCGGACGGUGACUGCUUUGUCUUCUCCACGGCGACGGCCUCCGUCUCCUGCCCUAUCCGUGCGUUCUCUCCCCUUCUCCGCUAGUAGUAUAGUCAUGCUAUCUCUGAUUUCCUUCCGCCAUCUCUUUCUGUCUCUGUUUCUUGAUCUUAGGGAUCUUGGAUCUCAAAGCGGCGGAGGACGUGAGGGCGCUCUUUCUCUUCUUCAAAGCGGCGACUACUGUGGAGUCCAGCAGCGCUGCAGCAGGUAUGCCGGUGGAGGGAAAUGGUUUGGUUUUUACUUUUUAUGGUUUGAUUCAUGGCGAAGGCUAGGGCUUCCAGAUUUUUUCCCCCACCCGAAUCGAAGCCGUCGAUGAUUUCCGGAGAGAAAAAAAUUUGGGGAUGGCGCCUAGAAUCCUAGAUCAGAGAUUUUGAGGGCUCCCGUUUCCAUUUUCUUUUAUUUUUUCCAAUAAAAAAAUUGUAAUCUGUUAAUUUCUCUCCUCCCCUUGUUCCUCUCCGUGUUUUCUUUUUACUUAAUUUCUGGUUAAAUUUAUUUUUUUAAAAAAAUUGCUUGACCGUGUUAAUAUUGGUGGAUUUAUUGUUGGCACUGUCCAUGGCUUAUAUGCUAACUAUCUAAUUUAACUAUUUAAGUCCAAUAGUUAAACGAGUCGGGUUGGGUUAAAUGGGUUAGCUGUUUGUUAAACGGGUUAAACGGGUCGGGUUACCCAUUUAAUAAACAUGUCAGGUUCAGGUUGUAAUUUUCUAACCUGUUUAAUAAACAGGUCGGGUUCAGGUUUAUGAUUUUUUGACCCGACUUGCAUCUGAUCCGACCUGUUUAUGUCCGACCCAACCCGAUUGCCACCCCUAAUAAGCAAUCAUUAGCUAAUUGUUUGGCACAAAGCUUUUCUCGCCAUCUCGGGAUGGGCGUGCCAGAGAGCUUGUUUGAUAAAUCCUCGUGGCAAGUGGUAAAAAGAUGCAUAGGCAUGCCACCGGCGUUAGAGCAACCGAAAAGAGGAUAAUUGAAGGAAGGAUAUCAAACUAGCGUUUGUCCAAGUGCUUGGACCUUCAAGGACUUUUGCCAUUGUCAUAUUGCCGUUCGAAAGAAAAUGGAGAGGGAUAGGAUGUAGCCUGAGCUACGGUAGGAAAAAUAUAAGUCAUUUUGGAAUAUCAAAGUCAUUUUGAGCGGCUUGUCAAUAGAGCUUGUAAUUGGCCAAAACGGUAACUUGUUGGAACUUUUAUUGAAGGACUUUGCUCAUACAUUCAUUGUGAGAUGAAGAUGUAUAAGCCCUACAUUAUAUUGGUAGCUAUCUCUUUUGCCCGAUUAUGAAAGGAAAGACUCAUUAAAAAUACCUCAUGCUUAAACAAGAGAGUAAAUAACAAGAAAUUCGUAAAUUUCAAGAAGAUACACUCAACAACAAAUAUGUUAAGUGGCUUACACAAGAGGAUCUCAUGGACAGAAUAAGCCAAGGCAAAUGUUAGCAUUGUGAUGAAAAAUGGCAUAGAGAAAAUUGCUAGAAAAAGAUAAUUUUUCUUAUCGAACCUGCACAUAUUGACACUUCACAAGAUGAAGAAGAUGAAGAUGAUCGCCAUGUACCACCUAGACAAAUAUAAUCUUGAGAACAAGAUCAUCUAGAAGUGAAAGGGAAUGAUAUGCUUCUUAUCUUAGGAUCCUAAUUUUAAUUUGAUUUAGCACAAGAAUUAGGAGGAGUCCAAGUUUAAUAAAGAUUGGCUACAUCAUAUUCCUAUUUUGCUUUUUCUUAUUCUUGUAGGACAAUUAACUCUGAAUCUAUAUAUACGUAGUGCUCUAGACAAGCAAUGAAUUUAAUAAAAAUAGUGUAAAGGCUAUUCGAGGUCCAAAACCUCUUGAAUUGAUCGAAUACUCUUUCUUCUACCUAUAUCUCUAUUUUUCUAUUUUCUUUUGCUCGAAAUUCUAUCAAUAGUAAGUGGGUUCCUAUCAAACAGAAUACAUACACAUAUAUAUACGACUUUUCAAAAACUAGUCUCGCAUUAUAAAAAUUUCAUCAUGACAUGAAGAUGAAAUAUCUUUUUUUCGUAUCCUAACAUCGAACUAGAAAGAGGAGACUAACUGAACAAAUUUAGUUCAAUGUCGAGAAGUUAUGUAAUUUAAAAACUAUCCUUACUGCAAGGAGAGGGGAAAACCUAUGAUUUAAACCCACCCCCCACCCCAACCUUCGGGGCGUCUCAUGGCCUGCUUUCACCUGUUCUCCGAACCUAAAGCGGUGAUUUUUCACGAAGCUUGUCGAAAGAAAUCAAACAAAUGGAUUAUCGCAUUUCAAUAGUUUAAUGGGUUAUCAUCUUCGAAUCAAAAUUUACAACAAUUCAAAAAACUAGAAUAGUAUAUUAGAGAGACAGAGAGAGAGAGACCUGCCGGUCGCCGGUCCGAGGUUACAGAGGUUGAGCUUUGAGGGUGAGUCGAGAGAGAUCUGCAGCCGCCCAACAGGAACCCUAGUCCUUAAAUCCAAGGAGGCCCUUGGCAAAGCAAAUGGGCCGAGUUAAUUUUGUCUAGGGCUAAUCCCGGCUCGAUUCCGUUUAACGUGAGCUAGGAAAGGGGAUUGUGGGACAAGAUCCCGCCCCCCAGCCCCACUGGCGUCUCUAGGUUACUAGGCUCGUCUUGGAAGUUUAUUUGGAUAAUUGGGCUGAAAAUCUUAUGAAAUUUAUGGACUAAGGCCUUGUUUGGAGGAGCUUUUGAAGGGCCAAAAAGCACUUUCUAAUUGUGAAACAAUUGAAGAUGAAUGGUAAGAAAAGGAUAUGCAUAGAUGUACCUACUCGUUGGAAUUCUACAUAUCUCAUGUUAAACGAUGUUAUACAAUUCAAGGAUGUAUUUAUGCGACUUGUGGCCCGGGAUUCUAAUAAACAUUUGAAAAGCUGGGUGUUCAACUGUUGUAAAUGGCAUCUCUUGUAAAAUUACCAUCCUUUACUUCAUCUAUUUUCUCAAAAGGCCAUAAAAACAGAUUUUAAUGCAUCUAAAAGCAGAAAUUAAAAUUUUUUUCCCUAAAACGUGAUUCAAAAGAUGCAUACAAACAUAGAAAAUAAAAAUACUUUUUCUUGCACAGAAGAGAGUCUAAUCCACGGCUAGGGUUCUUUGUUAGGGCAGAUUUUUAGGUUUAUAAAGGGACAAAGUAUGUAAUUAUUAUAUUUUAUUAUGGGUAUUUUGGUGAAAAAAAGCUUUCCGACAAAGCUCAAAAUAGCUUUUUCGAAAAGCUCCAAAUUGGAGCUUUUUUUAAAAAGCUGUUUUUAGCUUUCUGAAAAAGCUAAAACAGCUUUUCCAAAAUUUUUACCAAAUAUCUUUUUUUAAUCCAAAAGUGCUUUAGGAGGGCCAGAAAGUGCUUUUUGGCCCUUCAAAAGCUCCUCCAAACAAGGCCUUAGUCCAUAAAUUUCAUAAGAUUUUCAGCCCAAUUAUCCAAAUAAACUUCCAAGACGAGCCUAGUAACCUAGAGACGCCAGUGGGGCUGGGGGGCGGGAUCUUGUCCCACAAUCCCCUUUCCUAGCUCACGUUAAACGGAAUCGAGCCGGGAUUAGCCCUAGACAAAAUUAACUCGGCCCAUUUGCUUUGCCAAGGGCCUCCUUGGAUUUAAGGACUAGGGUUCCUGUUGGGCGGCUGCAGAUCUCUCUCGACUCACCCUCAAAGCUCAACCUCUGUAACCUCGGACCGGCGACCGGCAGGUCUCUCUCUCUCUGUCUCUCUAAUAUACUAUUCUAGUUUUUUGAAUUGUUGUAAAUUUUGAUUCGAAGAUGAUAACCCAUUAAACUAUUGAAAUGCGAUAAUCCAUUUGUUUGAUUUCUUUCGACAAGCUUCGUGAAAAAUCACCGCUUUAGGUUCGGAGAACAGGUGAAAGCAGGCCAUGAGACGCCCCGAAGGUUGGGGUGGGGGGUGGGUUUAAAUCAUAGGUUUUCCCCUCUCCUUGCAGUAAGGAUAGUUUUUAAAUUACAUAACUUCUCGACAUUGAACUAAAUUUGUUCAGUUAGUCUCCUCUUUCUAGUUCGAUGUUAGGAUACGAAAAAAAGAUAUUUCAUCUUCAUGUCAUGAUGAAAUUUUUAUAAUGCGAGACUAGUUUUUGAAAAGUCGUAUAUAUAUGUGUAUGUAUUCUGUUUGAUAGGAACCCACUUACUAUUGAUAGAAUUUCGAGCAAAAGAAAAUAGAAAAAUAGAGAUAUAGGUAGAAGAAAGAGUAUUCGAUCAAUUCAAGAGGUUUUGGACCUCGAAUAGCCUUUACACUAUUUUUAUUAAAUUCAUUGCUUGUCUAGAGCACUACGUAUAUAUAGAUUCAGAGUUAAUUGUCCUACAAGAAUAAGAAAAAGCAAAAUAGGAAUAUGAUGUAGCCAAUCUUUAUUAAACUUGGACUCCUCCUAAUUCUUGUGCUAAAUCAAAUUAAAAUUAGGAUCCUAAGAUAAGAAGCAUAUCAUUCCCUUUCACUUCUAGAUGAUCUUGUUCUCAAGAUUAUAUUUGUCUAGGUGGUACAUGGCGAUCAUCUUCAUCUUCUUCAUCUUGUGAAGUGUCAAUAUGUGCAGGUUCGAUAAGAAAAAUUAUCUUUUUCUAGCAAUUUUCUCUAUGCCAUUUUUCAUCACAAUGCUAACAUUUGCCUUGGCUUAUUCUGUCCAUGAGAUCCUCUUGUGUAAGCCACUUAACAUAUUUGUUGUUGAGUGUAUCUUCUUGAAAUUUACGAAUUUCUUGUUAUUUACUCUCUUGUUUAAGCAUGAGGUAUUUUUAAUGAGUCUUUCCUUUCAUAAUCGGGCAAAAGAGAUAGCUACCAAUAUAAUGUAGGGCUUAUACAUCUUCAUCUCACAAUGAAUGUAUGAGCAAAGUCCUUCAAUAAAAGUUCCAACAAGUUACCGUUUUGGCCAAUUACAAGCUCUAUUGACAAGCCGCUCAAAAUGACUUUGAUAUUCCAAAAUGACUUAAAUUUUUCCUACCGUAGCUCAGGCUACAUCCUAUCCCUCUCCAUUUUCUUUCGAACGGCAAUAUGAUAAUGGCAAAAGUCCUUAAAGGUCCAAGCACUUGGACAAACGCUAGUUUGAUAUCCUUCCUUCAAUUAUCCUCUUUUCGGUUGCUCUAACGCCGGUGGCAUGCCUAUGCAUCUUUUUACCACUUGCCACGAGGAUUUAUCAAACAAGCUCUCUGGCACGCCCAUCCCGAGAUGGCGAGAAAAGCUUUGUGCCAAACAGUUAGCUAAUGAUUGCUUAUUAGGGGUGACAAUCGGGUUGGGUCGGACAUAAACAGGUCCGAUCAUAUGCAAGUCGGGUCAAAAAAUCAUAAACCUGAACCCGACCUGUUUAUUAAACAGGUUAGAAAAUUACAACCUGAACCUGACCUGUUUAUUAAAUGGGUAACCUGACCCGUUUAACCCGUUUAACAAACAGCUAACCCGUUUAACCCAGCCCGACUCGUUUAACCUAACCCGACCCGUUUAACUAUUGGACUUAAAUAGUUAAAUUAGAUAGUUGGCGUAUAAGCCAUGGACAGUGCCAACAAUAAAUCCACCAAUAUUAACACGGUCAAGCAAUUUUUUAAAAAAAAUAAAUUUAACCAGAAAUUAAGUAAAAAGAAAACACGGAGAGGAACAAGGGAAGGAGAGAAAUUAACAGAUUACAAUUUUUUUAUUGGAAAAAAUAAAAGAAAAUGGAAACGGGAGCCCUCAAAAUCUCUGAUCUAGGAUUCUAGGCGCCAUCCCCAAAUUUUUUUCUCUCCGGAAAUCAUCGACGGCUUCGAUUCGGGUGGGGGAAAAAAUCUGGAAGCCCUAGCCUUCGCCAUGAAUCAAACCAUAAAAAGUAAAAACCAAACCAUUUCCCUCCACCGGCAUACCUGCUGCAGCGCUGCUGGACUCCACAGUAGUCGCCGCUUUGAAGAAGAGAAAGAGCGCCCUCACGUCCUCCGCCGCUUUGAGAUCCAAGAUCCCUAAGAUCAAGAAACAGAGACAGAAAGAGAUGGCGGAAGGAAAUCAGAGAUAGCAUGACUAUACUACUAGCGGAGAAGGGGAGAGAACGCACGGAUAGGGCAGGAGACGGAGGCCGUCGCCGUGGAGAAGACAAAGCAGUCACCGUCCGCCGGCAAGUCGCGAGACGACGAAAAGCCCCAAGAAGGCGGAAGCAACGUCCUAGGAACCCGUCGAGCCGCUGCGGUCGCCGUCGACGGGGAGGCGGAAGGAGUCGGCAAGGGGGAGGAGAGGGCGGAGGUCCGGAGGAGAGGAAGACUAGGAGAGGGGAGAGGGACUGAGGGAAUGGAGCUCGGGCGGCGCUCACAAAGACACAAACCCUAAGCGACGCCUUUU